GCCCUCCCGAUCCCCGAGCUGCACCAAAUAGCUCUCAGGUUUCUGCUGAUACUGCAGCGUCAAGAAAUGGCUCGAGUUUGCUCCUCGCUCUUAUGCAUUCAGCAGCCCUCUCACUCCUGCCGCACGCGUCCAGCUCUUGUCUCCUCCUGCCUCCAACGCUGCUGCUGCCGGGACGAGCCAAGACCGACUCUGGGGAUGCGGCUGCAGGGCUGCGGCGCUCUGACGUCUCCCCCGCCGCCGCUGCCCAGCGCCCGGCUCCUUUUCCAGCUGUCCUAAGGGAAGAGAGCCAGCGGCUAUCUAGGACUCCUUGAUUUUAUUGACUAACUCAAGCCUUUUGGAAAAGUGUCUCGCAGGCAGCCCUGUAAAGCGAUCUGUGUUAUAAAGAGGGGCGCAAGAGGAGGAGGAGGAGGGUUAAGUUUGCCGCUGCGGUUUUUGUUUUGGUUUGGUUUUUUCGGAUGCUGCUGCAAGGCGACUUGACGCAUUCCGGCACUGGCUCCUACUCCUAAACGGCGCGUCUCACCCGGAGCAGCUUCGUGACAGCAGCUGCGGUGAUGGUCGAGCCGGCGAGAAAAGUGGACGGAUCGAGUUAAAGGCUAAAGGCGACAGCUGGGGAGGGGAAUCCCAGCCUGGGGGUGCACUCCACAGACCUUCAGCCUCCCGGUUUGGGGGACAGGACCCCUCACCUUACCUGCCCUCUGCCCCCCCUAAAGGUACUUCUUCCCUCUUUCUUCACCCUCCCAUCAUCCCUGAUGCCUCUCCCUUCAUCCCGCCUGUCUUUUCCCCUUUUGAGUAUUUCCAUCCUUUAGGCUCCACAUCCACCCCUUCCUCAAGCUCCCCACCCCACCUCAACCCCCCCCUACCCUUGAACCGCCCUGGGUCUUUCUGUGCUCCUCCAUCCUCCUCCUCCUCCCUUUCCCUCACUUCUCCCCUGCCCCUUGGU
Molecule: long non-coding RNA, 940 nt
Filed under: Cyanistes caeruleus (blue tit)
Lineage: Eukaryota; Metazoa; Chordata; Aves; Passeriformes; Paridae
Description: lncRNA (ENSCCEG00000005904.1)
Source: RNAcentral